CCUACGGGAGGCAGCAGUGGGGAAUAUUGCACAAUGGGGGAAACCCUGAUGCAGCGACGCCGCGUUAGUGACGAAGUAUUUCGGUAUGUAAAGCUCUAUCAGCAGGGAAGAAGAAAGACGGUACCUGACUAAGAAGCCCCGGCUAACUACGUGCCAGCCGCCGCGGUAAUACGUAGGGGGCAAGCGUUAUCCGGAUUUACUGGGUGGAAAGGGAGCGUAGACGGCUGUGCAAGUCUGAAGUGAAAGCCCAGGGCUCAACCCUGGGACUGCUUUGGAACCUGUGGAGCUAGAGUGCUGGAGAGGUAAGUGGAAUUACUAGUGUAGCGGUGAAAUGCGUAGAGAUUAGGAGGAACACCAGUGGCGAAGGCGGCUUACUGGACAGUAACUGACGUUGAGGCUCGAAAGCGUGGGGAGCAAACAGGAUUAGAUACCCCAGUAGUC
RNAcentral lists this ribosomal RNA (441 nucleotides) under uncultured bacterium. RNAcentral's name for it is "partial 16S ribosomal RNA". It matches the Rfam family "Bacterial small subunit ribosomal RNA", at positions 338 to 795 of the family's 1533-position model. The record is from RNAcentral.